GUGUACUGUAUUGUGUACUUCCUAUAAUCCUAUAUGCAUUUUUCAAUUUCCCAAGAAUUAGGAAUAAACUAAUUACGACAUCUCUGUAAGAUGGCCUUGCAUUUCCAUCAAGAAAGCACGCAUUUCCGGUUUCCCGAGAGUCGAGUCUGGUCGAGUUUUCGUCGAGUGGGAUUUGAAUCUCUGCUAAUCUGUUCAUCAAGCGAGGAGACGCGAAUAUGUGGCGAGUUUAUGGCGCCAACGGAAAUUCAAAUGGGUCACAUCAAAGUAAGUGCUAUAAUAUCCACAUCAUUAAACGGGAUUGUGUCUAAUUCCGUGUAUUUUUCGUCUAAACGAUGUGUAGCUUAAUGUUCUUUCUUACAUUUGUUAUUCAUAUUUUGUGUACAAAUUAAACAUAUAGUAUAUAUAUGUUGACUAAAUGUAGACUAUUAUAUUUUAUUUUAUGUGUGAACGCGCAUAUAAUUCACAGGUAUUUGCUCGCUUUGUAGAUUAUCUUUUGAUUAUUUUUCGUUAGAACGUAUACCUUGAUUAGAAAUGACGUUUAAUUUAUCAACUUGUGAUUUGAAUUAUGCUAUGACAAUAUCAUCGAAAUCUAAUAAGAAAUAACGCUAAUUGUACCUAACCACUUAUAUUCAACUUUUGGACGUUUUUUUGGCUCUUAUACUUUCACCACCAUGUUAGUCGAAUUUACUUGAUGUCCAGUCGUUCUUGCGACUUGCGACAAAUCGUGAUGCGAUUUGUAAGAGUACCGAGUAUCAUUCAACUGCGGUGAAAGCGUCAAUCAUUCGGAUAUUAUUCGGCAUCAUGAUUUUUCUUUUUAAGAAAGAUUACAAUAUACAUACACACAUAUAUGAAAGAAAGAACAAGUGAUUUUUAUGUAAAUGCAUAUUGUACGUGUGUACAAUAUAAGUGAACGUUUAAUAUUAUCUGAAUUUAUUAACCUACAAAAAAUUUUCAUAUAUAUGAAUGUAAUUUUUCUUAAAUUUUAUAUUAUCGAAAUUCUGAAAUCUCAAAAGAAAGAUCGUGAUAUCGAAUGAUAUCUGAAUAUUUAGGUAUUGCAUAUAUAUACAUAUAUAUAUAUAAUAUAUUUGAAAUGUAAAUAUUUUUUCUUAAAAAAAGUAAUGCGAUUGCAUAUUAUAAUAUAUCAGACUGACACCUUAUUAUUGACAUAUCGUUUCAUCUAUUAAACAUUAUCUUGUCAACGCAGCAACAAUAUUUUAUAUUUGUUACAUUGCCAUGCGCAUCCAAUAUGAUAAAACAUAUAAUCUAUU
Formica exsecta is the source of this 1268-nucleotide long non-coding RNA. RefSeq lists it as uncharacterized. The record is from RefSeq and is a predicted model, not a curated record. NCBI's taxonomy places the organism in Eukaryota, Metazoa, Arthropoda, Insecta, Hymenoptera, Formicidae. The transcript is spliced from 3 exons.